Molecule: ribosomal RNA, 252 nt
Filed under: uncultured bacterium
Lineage: Bacteria
Description: partial 16S ribosomal RNA
Rfam family: Bacterial small subunit ribosomal RNA
Source: RNAcentral
UACGUAUGUCGCAAGCUUUAUCCGGAUUUAUUGGGCGUAAAGCGCGUCUAGGCGGUUAAGUAAGUCUGAUGUGAAAAUGCGGGGCUUAACCCCGUAUUGCGUUGGAAACUGGUAAACUAGAGUACUGGAGAGGUAAGUGGAACUACAAGUGUAGAGGUGAAAUGCGUAGAUAUUUGGAGGAAUUCCAAUGGCGUAGGCAGCUUACUGGACAGAUACUGACGCUAAGGCGCGAAAGCGUGGGUAGCAAACAGG